RNAcentral lists this ribosomal RNA (497 nucleotides) under uncultured bacterium. RNAcentral describes it as "partial 16S ribosomal RNA". It matches the Rfam family "Bacterial small subunit ribosomal RNA", at positions 28 to 507 of the family's 1533-position model. The record is from RNAcentral.
GAUGAACGCUGGCGGCGUGCCUAAUACAUGCAAGUCGAGCGAACGGACGAGAAGCUUGCUUCUCUGAUGUUAGCGGCGGACGGGUGAGUAACACGUGGAUAACCUACCUAUAAGACUGGGAUAACUUCGGGAAACCGUAGCUAAUACCGGAUAAUAUUUUGAACCGCAUGGUUCAAAAGUGAAAGACGGUCUUGCUGUCACUUAUAGAUUGAUCCGCGCUGCAUUAGCUAGUUGGUAAGGUAACGGCUUACCAAGGCAACGAUGCAUAGCCGACCUGAGAGGGUGAUCGGACACACUGGAACUGAGACACGGUCCAGACUCCUACGGGAGGCAGCAGUAGGGAAUCUUCCGCAAUGGGCGAAAGCCUGACGGAGCAAAGCCGCGUGAGUGAUGAAGGUCUUAGGAUCGGAAAACUACGUUAUUAGGGAAGAACAUAUGUGUAAGUAACUGUGCACAUCUUGACGGUACCUAAUCAGAAAGCCACGGCUAACUACGUG